AGAAUAUAAUCCACCAUUAGCCAACAAUCCUUCAAGAAAUGAACCUGGCUACCAGGACAAACAACCGAUUACAGAGCAUUACCAAUCAUCAAUUGAAAAUUCUACCCACUUCAAUUUAAAUCCAGUAUUGGAAUUUGACGCACCUGGGCAUCAGGGUUACACAGACCAUGAACUGCCAAUCUCUGAUACUCCGUACGUGUUCAGCCCAACCCCUCCUGCUGAACAUGUUAGUGCAGGAAAGACACAAUUUUCAGAAUAUGAGCUGCCAACGUCAGACACUUCAUAUGUUUUCAGUUCAGACCUAGUAA
Callorhinchus milii (elephant shark) is the source of this 308-nucleotide long non-coding RNA. RefSeq lists it as uncharacterized. NCBI's taxonomy places the organism in Eukaryota, Metazoa, Chordata, Chondrichthyes, Chimaeriformes, Callorhinchidae. The transcript has 4 exons. The record is from RefSeq and is a predicted model, not a curated record.